AGAAUCAACGCUGGCGGCGUGCCUAACACAUGCAAGUCGAACGAGAAAGUGGGAGCAACCCCAUUAGUAAAGUGGCGCACGGGUGAGUAACACGUGACUAACCUACCCUUGAGUGGGGGGAUAACCUAGGGAAACCUGGGCUAAUACCGCAUAAUACCUACGGGUCAAAGGAGCAAUUCGCUUUAGGAGGGGGUCGCGGCAGAUUAGUUAGUUGGCGGGGUAAUGGCCCACCAAGACAGUGAUCUGUAUCCGGCCUGAGAGGGCGCACGGACACACUGGAACUGAAACACGGUCCAGACUCCUACGGGAGGCAGCAGUGGGGAAUUUGCGCAAUGGGGGAAACCCUGACGCAGCAACGCCGCGUGGAGGAUGAAGCCCUUGGGGCGUAAACUCCUUUCGAUCGGGAAGAUAAUGACGGUACCGGAAGAAGAAGCCCGGCUAACUUCGUGCCAGCAGCCG
This 459-nucleotide ribosomal RNA is filed under the name uncultured bacterium. RNAcentral's name for it is "SSU rRNA". It matches the Rfam family "Bacterial small subunit ribosomal RNA", at positions 26 to 517 of the family's 1533-position model. The record is from RNAcentral.